CCGCGCUAGACGGGAAGUUAGCGGUGUCCUGAACUCGCAAUCCGCUUUAGCGAGGUCGAAUUCCCACCCGAGGGCGUAUUUGCCUUUUAGCUGGUGCGGGGCACGCGGCGUUGACGGUUGGGUCCUACUCAACGGGUAACUGCCAAACCCGGUCAGGUCCGGAAGGAAGCAGCCGUAGGUGGUCUUUCUCGUGUGCUGUAGGAGCGCCUGACCCGAGCAGGCGACCCCGUGGCCGUUCUGGGCGGUCGCUCGACGGUGGGUGCGCGG
Molecule: signal recognition particle RNA, 267 nt
Filed under: Candidatus Hydrogenedentota bacterium
Lineage: Bacteria; Pseudomonadati; Candidatus Hydrogenedentota
Description: signal recognition particle sRNA large type
Rfam family: Bacterial large signal recognition particle RNA
About the family: The signal recognition particle (SRP) is a universally conserved ribonucleoprotein involved in the co-translational targeting of proteins to membranes. Archaeal SRP consists of a 7S RNA and homologues of the eukaryotic SRP19 and SRP54 proteins. In most bacteria, the SRP consists of a 4.5S RNA and the Ffh protein (a homologue of the eukaryotic SRP54 protein).
Source: RNAcentral